This 445-nucleotide small RNA is filed under the name Pan troglodytes (chimpanzee). RNAcentral's name for it is "processed transcript". Lineage: Eukaryota; Metazoa; Chordata; Mammalia; Primates; Hominidae. The record is from RNAcentral.
UCACUUCCCUCCCGGCUUUUCCUCCCGACUUAUCCACUUUAGGGGCGUCUCGGAGUGCCGGAGUCCCCCGGGGAAGAGCGGGGUGCCGGUGUCCGCUCCGGGCUCGGAUGGGAAGUGGCGGGAGGAGCGACCCGGGAUGUUCAGUCUGAUGGCCAGUUGCUGCGGCUGGUUCAAGCGGUGGCGGGAGCCUGUCAGAAUACCCUGAAGAUGUAGCUCCUACUGUUGGAUUUUCAAAAAUUAACCUUAGACAAGGAAAGUUUGAAGUCACCAUCUUUGACUUGGGAGGUGGAAUAAGAAUUCGGGGAAUCUGGAAGAAUUACUAUGCUGAAUCCUAUGGGGUAAUAUUUGUUGUGGAUUCCAGUGAUGAAGAGAGAAUGGAAGAGACAAAAGAGGCUAUGUCAGAAAUGCUAAGACAUCCUAGGAUAUCGGGAAAGCCUAUAUUGGU